RNAcentral lists this small nuclear RNA (284 nucleotides) under Sorex araneus (European shrew). RNAcentral describes it as "7SK RNA (ENSSARG00000019914.1)". It matches the Rfam family "7SK RNA", at positions 1 to 283 of the family's 331-position model. Rfam says of the family: 7SK was discovered as an abundant small nuclear RNA in the mid-70s but a possible function has only recently been suggested. Two independent studies have found that 7SK RNA binds the CDK9/cyclin T complex (known as elongation factor P-TEFb). Lineage: Eukaryota; Metazoa; Chordata; Mammalia; Eulipotyphla; Soricidae. The record is from RNAcentral.
GGAUGUGAGAGCAGUUUAGCUGUGACAUCUGUCACUCCACUGAUCACCAAGGUUGAUUCAGCUAAUUUGGUGGGCUAAGUGGGUGUCCCCUUCUGACCUCACUAUCCAUAUACUUCCCUUCCAAAGCUGUGUGCUGUUUUUCCCAGAAUAGAGAGUGACUAUUCUUCCACUGAGGGUAGCUGCUCUCUUCUACUAGAAUCUCCAAAAUAAGCUCUCAAGGAUAGUCAAUGCUGCUGUAAUUUUGAAUUUUAUAAUGUUAAAAGUAGAAAAGUUAGCUCAAGGAG